GAUGAACGCUGGCGGCGUGCCUAAUACAUGCAAGUCGAGCGAACGGACGAGAAGCUUGCUUCUCUGAUGUUAGCGGCGGACGGGUGAGUAACACGUGGAUAACCUACCUAUAAGACUGGGAUAACUUCGGGAAACCGGAGCUAAUACCGGAUAAUAUUUUGAACCGCAUGGUUCAAAAGUGAGAGACGGUCUUGCUGUCACUUAUAGAUGGAUCCGCGCUGCAUUAGCUAGUUGGUAAGGUAACGGCUUACCAAGGCAACGAUGCAUAGCCGACCUGAGAGGGUGAUCGGCCACACUGGAACUGAGACACGGUCCAGACUCCUACGGGAGGCAGCAGUGGGGAAUCUUCCGCAAUGGGCGAAAGCCUGACGGAGCAACGCCGCGUGAGUGAUGAAGGUCUUCGGAUCGUAAAACUCUGUUAUUAGGGAAGAACAUAUGUGUAAGUAACUGUGCACAUCUUGACGGUACCUAAUCAGAAAGCCACGGCUAACUACGUG
RNAcentral lists this ribosomal RNA (497 nucleotides) under uncultured bacterium. RNAcentral describes it as "partial 16S ribosomal RNA". It matches the Rfam family "Bacterial small subunit ribosomal RNA", at positions 28 to 507 of the family's 1533-position model. The record is from RNAcentral.